RNAcentral lists this ribosomal RNA (253 nucleotides) under uncultured bacterium. Its description in RNAcentral is "partial 16S ribosomal RNA". It matches the Rfam family "Bacterial small subunit ribosomal RNA", at positions 524 to 776 of the family's 1533-position model. The record is from RNAcentral.
GACGAAGGGGGCUAGCGUUGUUCGGAAUUACUGGGCGUAAAGCGCGUGUAGGCGGUUGUUCAAGUCGGGGGUGAAAGCCUUGAGCUCAACUCAAGAAAUGCACUCGGUACUGGAUGACUAGAGGACCGGAGAGGAUAGUGGAAUUCCCAGUGUAGUGGUGAAAUACGUAGAGAUUGGGAAGAACACCAGUGGCGAAGGCGGCUAUCUGGACGGUUUCUGACGCUAAGACGCGAAAGCGUGGGGAGCAAACAGG